Molecule: non-coding RNA, 88 nt
Organism: Pelobates cultripes (western spadefoot toad)
Lineage: Eukaryota; Metazoa; Chordata; Amphibia; Anura; Pelobatidae
Source: the annotation of a GenBank genome assembly
UUAUUUGUUUCAAGAAAUUAUGCAUUUAGCCUCUUUGUAAUAUAAGUACAAAGAGGCUAAAUGCAUAAUUUCUUGAAACAAAUAAUAU